AGGCAAGACCGCGAGGUGGAGCAAAUCUCAAAAAGCCGUCCCAGUUCGGAUCGCAGGCUGCAACCCGCCUGCGUGAAGUUGGAAUCGCUAGUAAUCGCGGAUCAGCAUGCCGCGGUGAAUACGUUCCCGGGCCUUGUACACACCGCCCGUCACACCAUGAGAGUCGGGAACACCCGAAGUCCGUAGCCUAACCGCAAGGGGGGCGCGGCCGAAGGUGGGUUCGAUAAUUGGGGUGAAGUCGUAACAAGGUAGC
RNAcentral lists this ribosomal RNA (253 nucleotides) under uncultured bacterium. RNAcentral's name for it is "partial 16S ribosomal RNA". It matches the Rfam family "Bacterial small subunit ribosomal RNA", at positions 1247 to 1500 of the family's 1533-position model. The record is from RNAcentral.